GUCCUUGCCGUAAACUAUGUAUACUUGGUGUAACUGGACUCAACCCUAGUUGUGCCGAAGCUAACGCGAUAAGUAUACCGCCUGAGGAGUACGCUCGCAAGGGUGAAACUCAAAAGAAUUGACGGGGACCCGCACAAGCAGUGGAGCAUGUGGUUUAAUUCGAUGCAACGCGAAGAACCUUACCCAGACUUGACAUGCAGUAGACAGUUCUAGAAAUGAAUCUUCCUUCGGGACUGCUGCACAGGUGCUGCAUGGCUGUCGU
Molecule: ribosomal RNA, 262 nt
Filed under: uncultured bacterium
Lineage: Bacteria
Description: partial 16S ribosomal RNA
Rfam family: Bacterial small subunit ribosomal RNA
Source: RNAcentral